Molecule: microRNA, 23 nt
Filed under: Drosophila virilis
Lineage: Eukaryota; Metazoa; Arthropoda; Insecta; Diptera; Drosophilidae
Description: dvi-miR-9539-5p
Source: miRBase by way of RNAcentral
ACAUUGAGACUCUGAGUGGUAGU